RNAcentral lists this ribosomal RNA (809 nucleotides) under uncultured fungus. RNAcentral's name for it is "eukaryotic LSU rRNA". The stretch from base 430 to 809 matches the Rfam family "Eukaryotic large subunit ribosomal RNA", at positions 1 to 374 of the family's 3401-position model. Lineage: Eukaryota; Fungi. The record is from RNAcentral.
AUCAACAUCAGUCGUCUAAAAGUAGUCUUAUUAUAAUCUAAUAAAACUUCAACAACGGAUCUCUUGGCUCUCGCAUCGAUGAAGAACGCAGCGAAAUGCGAUAAGUAAUGUGAAUUGCAGAAUUCAGUGAAUCAUCGAAUCUUUGAACGCACCUGCGCUCCAUGGUACUCCCGUGGAGCAUGCCUGUUUGAGUGUCAUGAAAACAAUCAACUUGGUUUUGGGGCAACCCUCGAUCUCGGCUCGGACUUGGGCGUUCGCCAUCUUCACGGGUGGCUCGCCUCAAACGAAUUAGCUGGACCUGUUUGUGAGGAAUGCUUCUACUCGGCGUAAUAAGUAUUUCGCUGAGGACAUGGCUUCGGCUGUGGCCUUCCUCUCGACGAUCGUCUGCUUUCAAACCCUGUUCUCCUCGGAGACGCAUUUUUUAUGAUCUGGCCUCAAAUCAGGUAGGACUACCCGCUGAACUUAAGCAUAUCAAUAAGCGGAGGAAAAGAAACUAACAAGGAUUCCCCUAGUAACGGCGAGUGAAGCGGGAAGAGCUCAAAUUUGAAAUCUGGUGGCGUCACGUCAUCCGAGUUGUAAUCUAUAGAAGCGUUUUCCGCGUCGGCUCAUGUACAAGUCCCUUGGAACAGGGCGUCAUAGAGGGUGAGAAUCCCGUCCUUGACAUGAACUACCGAUGCUAUGUGAUACGUUUUCAACGAGUCGAGUUGUUUGGGAAUGCAGCUCAAAAUGGGUGGUAAAUUCCAUCUAAGGCUAAAUAUUGGCGAGAGACCGAUAGCGAACAAGUACCGUGAGGGAAAGAUGAAAAGCAC